Molecule: long non-coding RNA, 777 nt
Filed under: Nicotiana benthamiana
Lineage: Eukaryota; Viridiplantae; Streptophyta; Magnoliopsida; Solanales; Solanaceae
Description: long non-coding RNA (NBEN_LNC008939)
Source: RNAcentral
AAAAACUGCAUUUAUGAUGCACUUAAAGCCAAAUAGUUAUAAAGUCCAACCAAUAUUUUCAUACAAUAAAGGUCAAAUAAGAGUGAAGUGCAAAUUGUCCAGAAUCAAAAACUUGUUAUUUGAAUUUCAACAAUCAAACACACAAUUUGAUACCUAAAUCUACUUCAAAUGAGGUCAAAUUUGAAACAUUAUCUCCAAAUAUUAUAAAUAACAAACCCCACUAAUUAAUUUAUCAAACAAUAAUAAAUCUAACAAGCCCAUUUUGUAAUUAAGAAGAAGAAGAAGAAAGGAAUUUUUUCCUCCUAAAGAAAAUGUUGAUACUUUAUUUAUUUUAACUAAAUACCAUUUUAAAAAUUUAUUUUUUAUAACUACCUUUGAUUUUUAUAGUCAAAUAUAUAUUUAUGGUCACCUCCUACCCUUAAGCCAUAAAAUACAUUGUUCUCUCUCAUAAAAUAUGCUGCCAUAUCUUUCUCCACCCCCUCUCUUCAAUUGUAUGUUUUGUUGAUUAGAAAAACAAACUUUUGAGAAAUUCUUACAGAUUACUAGAUCGGGCUUUCCAUGGCCUUUCCGCCGUAACCGAUCUAUCUGUACCCUCCAUUUUUUUCUCUUUUUUUUUAAUUCACCAACCAAUAAUUCAAAUAAAAAUUAUGAACAUAUCAGUUCGUUCUAAAUUUUCUUCUUGUUCUUUCUUUCAAAUGGAUGUAAAAGUCCGUCCAUGUAUGAAAAUAGCAUAAGAAUACUCUAAGAAAGUUAGCUUAUUGUAGUACAAAAGUUUUU